CUUCUGUGUUGCAUAAAACUGGGUGAAACUUCUGUGUCAAAACUUCACAAUGACCUUCUUAACACGCUGGGUAUCAGUGCUACUGGCAUUUCUUCUCUUACAUUUUUGGAGAACAAAGGUUUAUGCUUCUGGAAACUCAGAGGAGGAAAUAGAUUUCACAUAUGUUAUUAUAGGAGUUACUCUGGGAGCGUUUCUAGCAAUUACUUUUGUAGCAGUAAUAAUCUGCAUGAUCAAAAAACAGAUGAUUGACAAUGUUUUCAGAGGUAAGAAAAAUACUACUGCUUUCUCAGUCAGAGAUCUAGAUCUCCUUAUGUUCCAAUACAGCAGAUCUGCGCUUCAGUGUUAGGAAUUAUGAAUGUGCCACAGCUCUAGUUUUCCUCUGAAGAACUAUUUUAAAAGGUGUCUGAAGUGCUGGAGUCCCUGGAACUGCAGGUUCACAUCUUGGUGUAACCAACUCUGCUCUUUAAUCCUAUCAGAGAAACAGAUUCACUUCAGCAUACUGCUUAGGUAUCUUCUAGAAUAACUAAUUUUUAAACAGAAUUCUGUCUAUUUAACAUAAGUUAAUGAACCUGUUGCAUCUGCAGAAUGGGCAAGAGGCUUGCUUACACUUCCUAAUCAAAAUUACUAUAUAUUUCACUGAUUUUGGACUUUUCUUUCAAAUGCCACUGGCUCUAAGAUACGCAGUUUCCAUCAGAGUACAUAGAAAACUGUAAGUUUCUCACUGCAACUGGUUUUCAAGUUGUUACAAGAAAGCACCUUUUUCAUCUGAAAUGGGCAAAGGCUCUUCGAUCUAAAAUCAUAACUGCUGGUAGUAACAGUUCCUUUUGAGUUCAUACCAGCAAUUUACAACCCAUAUUUUUGGAUUCAAAACCAAAAUCUUAAACUGAAUAUGACCAUCAUUUCAGUAGACAGAAGUUAGUGACAGGCAGAAUUUGUCCCACUGCCCUGCAUCC
This is a long non-coding RNA of Pezoporus flaviventris, 953 nucleotides long. RefSeq lists it as uncharacterized. The transcript has 4 exons. The record is from RefSeq and is a predicted model, not a curated record. NCBI's taxonomy places the organism in Eukaryota, Metazoa, Chordata, Aves, Psittaciformes, Psittacidae.